CAAUAGCGUAUAUUAAAGUUGUUGCGGUUAAAAAGCUCGUAGUUGGAUUUCUGCCGAGGACGACCGGUCCGCCCUCUGGGUGUGUAUCUGGUUUGGCCUGGGCAUCUUCUUGGAGAACGUAGCUGCACUUGACUGUGUGGUGCGGUGUCCAGGACUUUUACUUUGAGGAAAUUAGAGUGUUUCAAGCAGGCACACGCCUUGAAUACAUUAGCAUGGAAUAAUAAGAUAGGACCUCGGUUCUAUUUUGUUGGUUUCUAGAGCUGAGGUAAUGAUUAAUAGGGAUAGUUGGGGGCAUUCGUAUUUAACUGUCAGAGGUGAAAUUCUUGGAUUUGUUAAAGACGGACUACUGCAAAAGCAUUUGCCAAGGAUGUUUUCAUUGA
RNAcentral lists this ribosomal RNA (380 nucleotides) under uncultured eukaryote. RNAcentral's name for it is "partial 18S ribosomal RNA". It matches the Rfam family "Eukaryotic small subunit ribosomal RNA", at positions 592 to 976 of the family's 1831-position model. The record is from RNAcentral.